Molecule: long non-coding RNA, 206 nt
Filed under: Mytilus galloprovincialis (Mediterranean mussel)
Lineage: Eukaryota; Metazoa; Mollusca; Bivalvia; Mytilida; Mytilidae
Source: RNAcentral
CAGGCUUAUACAUACACAAUGUGGACAGGGUCAAACAUGUAAGCAGGAUACCAACCCUCCCCUAACAUGGAACAGUGGUGUAACAGUUCUACAUAAGAACGAACUAUAAAAACCAAUUGAAAAAGGCUAACUCAUCAAAUGGAUACAGAUAGAAAUACACCUAACAAAAACACAAGGAGGACAUGUACGGUACUGUACAUCCCAAC